This 456-nucleotide long non-coding RNA is filed under the name Lupinus angustifolius (narrow-leaved blue lupine). Its description in RNAcentral is "long non-coding RNA (LANG_LNC001946)". Lineage: Eukaryota; Viridiplantae; Streptophyta; Magnoliopsida; Fabales; Fabaceae. The record is from RNAcentral.
GCUUGUUCUUCAUUUUCUUGUUCAGAAGCGGAACUGGUAUCAUUAUCUUCCUAAGCAAUGUAGGCUCUCCGUCCAGUCCUUAUUUCGUUCUUUCCUUUGAAGGAGUUCUUUUUCAAGUUUGGACAAUCCAUCUUCAUAUAUCCAAGCUUGCCACAUUCGAAGCAUGUGAAAUUUUGGUUUGAAGUGGAGGAGUUAUUGUUCUUGGUGAAUUUUCUCAUUUGUCCAGUUUUGCCACUCUUGUUCCUUUUAAGGAACUUACUCAACUUCUUUAAAGGAAGACUUAUAUCUUCCAUCUCUUCCAUCUCAGAUUCAUGUUCUGAUCACUCAUAUUUUUCUACUUUUGUCUUGAGAGAAAUAUUCUUCUUUUUCUUUUCUUGCUCUUCAUGUUUUUCAUGUUGGCUGAGUUCUAAUUCAUGUUCCUACAAUUUACCAAACAAAGCAACCAAAGACAUUUUC